Molecule: ribosomal RNA, 253 nt
Filed under: uncultured bacterium
Lineage: Bacteria
Description: partial 16S ribosomal RNA
Rfam family: Bacterial small subunit ribosomal RNA
Source: RNAcentral
GACGUAGGGCGCAAGCGUUGUCCGGAUUUAUUGGGCGUAAAGAGCUCGUAGGCGGCCUGUCGCGUCGACCGUGAAAACCCGCAGCUCAACUGCGGGCUUGCGGUCGAUACGGGCAGGCUGGAGUACUGCAGGGGAGACUGGAAUUCCUGGUGUAGCGGUGGAAUGCGCAGAUAUCAGGAGGAACACCGGUGGCGAAGGCGGGUCUCUGGGCAGUAACUGACGCUGAGGAGCGAAAGCGUGGGGAGCGAACAGG